UACGGAGGUCUCAAGCGUUGUUCGGAAUCACUGGGCGUAAAGCGUGCGUAGGCUGUUUCGUAAGUCGUGUGUGAAAGGCGCGGGCUCAACCCCUGGACUGCUUUGGAAACUGUAUGGCUGGAGUGCAGGAGAGGUAAGUGGAAUUCCUAGUGUAGCGGUGAAAUGCGUAGAUAUUAGGAGGAACACCAGUGGCGAAGGCGGCUUACUGGACUGUAACUGACGUUGAGGCUCGAAAGCGUGGGGAGCAAACAGG
This 253-nucleotide ribosomal RNA is filed under the name uncultured Eubacteriales bacterium. Its description in RNAcentral is "uncultured Clostridiales bacterium partial 16S ribosomal RNA". It matches the Rfam family "Bacterial small subunit ribosomal RNA", at positions 524 to 776 of the family's 1533-position model. The record is from RNAcentral. Lineage: Bacteria; Bacillati; Bacillota; Clostridia; Eubacteriales.